AAGCAUCGGCUAACUACGUGCCAGCAGCCGCGGUAAGACGUAGGAUGCAAGCGUUGUCCGGAUUCAUUGGGCGUAAAGAGUUCGUAGGUGGUCUGUUAAGUUUGGUGUUAAAGAGCGGGGCCCAACCCCGAUAGUGCACUGAAUACUGGCAGACUUGAGUGCGGUAGAGGUAAGUGGAAUUCCAAGUGUAGCGGUGAAAUGCAUAGAUACCAUCAGGAACACCGAUUGCGAAGGCAGCUUACUGGGCUUGAAUUGACGCUGAGGCACG
Molecule: ribosomal RNA, 268 nt
Filed under: uncultured Stichotrichia
Lineage: Eukaryota; Ciliophora; Spirotrichea
Description: partial Bacterial small subunit ribosomal RNA
Rfam family: Bacterial small subunit ribosomal RNA
Source: RNAcentral